This 375-nucleotide ribosomal RNA is filed under the name uncultured Anaerolineaceae bacterium. RNAcentral describes it as "bacterial SSU rRNA". It matches the Rfam family "Bacterial small subunit ribosomal RNA", at positions 991 to 1382 of the family's 1533-position model. Lineage: Bacteria; Bacillati; Chloroflexota; Anaerolineae; Anaerolineales; Anaerolineaceae. The record is from RNAcentral.
UGGUAGGGAAGCGAAAGCAGACCGACCCUUCGGGAGCUGUUACAGGUGUUGCAUGGCUGUCGUCAGCUCGUGUCGUGAGAUGUUCGGUUAAGUCCGCUAACGAGCGCAACCCGCGUUGUGUGUUACAAGUGUCACACAAUACCGCCGGUAUUAAGUCGGAGGAAGGUGCGGAUGACGUCAAGUCAGCAUGACCUUUAUAUCCAGGGCUACACACACGCUACAAUGGUCUGUACAAUGGGUAGCCAAGCCGCGAGGCGGAGCCAAUCCUGAAAGCAGGCCUCAGUUCAGAUUGCAGUCUGCAACUCGACUGCAUGAAGCCGGAGUUGCUAGUAACCGCAGGUCAGCAAUACUGCGGUGAAUACGUUCCCGGGUCUU